Molecule: ribosomal RNA, 36 nt
Filed under: Sarcodon squamosus
Lineage: Eukaryota; Fungi; Basidiomycota; Agaricomycetes; Thelephorales; Thelephoraceae
Description: partial 28S ribosomal RNA
Source: RNAcentral
UUGACCAAUUCGACCUCAAAUCAGGUAGGACUACCC